Molecule: long non-coding RNA, 632 nt
Organism: Stegostoma tigrinum
Lineage: Eukaryota; Metazoa; Chordata; Chondrichthyes; Orectolobiformes; Stegostomatidae
Exons: 4
Source: RefSeq, a predicted model, not a curated record
AGGACUGCCUGCAAAAUCUGAGAUUGGGUUUUGAAAGACAUCAACCUUUGCUUGCGAGAGAUAAUGGUAACUGCAGAUGCUAGAGAAUGCGAGAUAACAAUGUGUGGAGCUGGAUGAACACAGCAGGCCAAGCAGCAUCUCAGGAGCACAAAAGCUGACAUUUCGGGCCUCGACCCUUCAUGCGAGAGAACGUAACGUUUUUAAAGAAGAAAUUGCCCCAGUCAAACAAGAAGUCAAAAUAUUAAAUGAUCUGGCCAGUCAAUUAUCUCCGCUUGAUGUCUCUUUCUCUCCAAAGAUUUCUCACCAGCUUGACGACCUAAAUAUGAGGUUGAAAUUUAUACAGCAGCAGGAGGUGAGGAGGCAGAGACUGCAACCCUGAGGUCACGGAGGGAAGGAAAAGAGGCUCUUACUUGGAGAUUGAGAAGCAGGAGAGGGCACAACCCAGAGGUUUGGGAGUGGAGAGAGGCUGCAAGUUGGAGGUCAAGCCACCAGACUCAGAGUACCUGUUGGGACCAUCCAAAAAUGACUGAACAUUUUCACUCAUUAGGUAAGUAGAUUGAUAAUAGGACUCUGGUUCUGUGCCACUGUCAGAUCAUUGCGACUCCAAAAGGUACCAAAGUAAAUUCUGGAUU